UAGGAAGUGGUGUAGUGGAUGCACGAGGAGUUUUGAUCUCCUUAGAUUAGGUUUAAAUCCUUCCUUUCUAG
Molecule: transfer RNA, 71 nt
Filed under: Gnatholebias zonatus
Lineage: Eukaryota; Metazoa; Chordata; Actinopteri; Cyprinodontiformes; Rivulidae
Description: tRNA-Gln
Rfam family: tRNA
About the family: Transfer RNA (tRNA) molecules are approximately 80 nucleotides in length. Their secondary structure includes four short double-helical elements and three loops (D, anti-codon, and T loops). Further hydrogen bonds mediate the characteristic L-shaped molecular structure. tRNAs have two regions of fundamental functional importance: the anti-codon, which is responsible for specific mRNA codon recognition, and the 3' end, to which the tRNAs corresponding amino acid is attached (by aminoacyl-tRNA synthetases). tRNAs cope with the degeneracy of the genetic code in two manners: having more than one tRNA (with a specific anti-codon) for a particular amino acid; and 'wobble' base-pairing, i.e. permitting non-standard base-pairing at the 3rd anti-codon position.
Source: RNAcentral